GCAAACACUAAGAUGUCCUCUAGAGUUACUGCUGACUCACCACCUAGACCAAGAACGAGGAAUUUGAUUAGCUGAAAACAGCUUUUACAAGAUUUUCACAUUAGAAGCCAAAGAGUCUGCUCUGGAAGGUCAAAGAAACAUUUGGAGCCGAUUUGGAGGCCAAGUCAGAAGGUGUGUGGGCAGGAGUAGAAGGGAAAGCCGCAUUGUGUAUGCUGACAUGACACUGGGUCUUGCUCAAAGUUGUUUUAUACUUGUACUCCUGCCCAUAGCAGUCCCCAGUGGGAGGUAAAAAUUCCACUGGGUUGCAAGCUCAAGGUCAAUCCCUGCCCCCAAAUUCAAUCAUCCAGUAUAAAAUAAAAAAAAUUGGCUGACAGUUCAACAUUUACUUACGUUUUUCUUAGUGUCAGAUUCCUCACGGAAGGACUAAUCACGGAGGAAGGGGAUAUCAGUCUAUUAUUCGAAGAGGGGAGAUCUAGUUGUGAACACUGAGUAAAGGCAUUGGGGCAUAUCUUUGGGGACCUAGAAGGGAAGAAGCCCAACCACCUUGUUAGUUGAGUUGGCCACACCCUGACUCAGAAACAGCUGAGUCAGGAUACAGGUAUCUCCAGGAUACAAUAUUGUCCAUGACAAGUGUACAGUCAGUAAAUUACAUUUGUUUUUUUGUAAAUGAGUACUUCAGGCAUGAAGGAUUGCUUCUAGAUGCAAACAAAAUAAGAUUUGCACCAUGUCCUUAAACAAAUUACAUGCUUUAUGCUACUCCCCAUUCAAAGAAUACAUUGCAGGCUGCUUCUGAAAUCCCCAAGUUUCAGAACAGCUUGUUGGAUGGAAUGAAGAGCUGCUACAAAAAAACUCUGGAACAUUAGGUUGAAUUCAUGAUUUAGCCCUUUGAUCAGUUAUUUUUAGGCUCUAACUAUAAUUUGAUAGUGCCGAUGUUCACCCAAGCUUUGCCACAUGAAUGAACAAGAAUGAGCUGCAGCAAGCCUUAAAUUUGAUAGCACAUCCCCACUGUCCAAUCCCAGUGCAGGCUGGAGUUCAGGAGCGGAAGUUUUUGCUUUUGAUUACCCACCAUUUGCCACAUCCUCUGGAUCUGGAAUUGGGGUUAGUCUUAACCACAGUUAAACAUGUCAGCUUCAGUAGCUAUGGUUUGAAGCUGGCACUGAAAGAAAGUACAGGGAAGGUGGCUGCUUGGUGCUAAAAGUCAAGGAGUUCCAUAGUAUAGGUGCUGCCACACUAAAAUAUCAAUUUCUCACAACUGUGGAAUGAAUAUUACGUGGCACCUUUAACAGUGCCAGUUUCGGUCAAGUGACAUAUAUGGAGUAAGGUGAUGCUGCAAGGAAGACAUUCCCAAGCCAUUAUGGGCUUUAUAUAAGUUAAACCUUAAACUUGGCUUGAACAAAUCGGCAACUAGUACAGAUCUCUGGGCAGAGGCAUUAUGUGCCGACAGGUGCUUACUCCUGUCAGCAACUAUGCUGCAGCAUUCUGCAUUAACUGCAGUUUCCAGGCAAAGUGCAAGGGAAGCCCCACAUAGAGUAUACUGAGUUAAUCUAAUCUUGAAGUCACCAGUGCUUUCCCAGCCCAGGAACAGCUGAAACCGUCAUACCAAAUGCAGCUGGUAAAAGACACUUUUAGCUACUGGGGCUACCUGGGCCUCCAGCGGCAAAGCUGGAUCCACAAGAACCCCCAGACUGCGCAUCUGCUCCUUUGGGCAUGGGGGUGGACCUCAUCUAGGACAGACAACUGACCAAUGUUACAGACUGAACAACCAAAAGUGAGAACUCUCAACAUCUCCCAGCCAUGUGGGAAGAGCGAGCAUAAACAUGAGGUUCACUGCAGCUCAUUCCUGUUCAUUCACAUUGCGCUCAACCGUGGUUUAGCAUGAUGUGUGAACACCGCCUGUUUGUUUCCACGCGGCUGCAAAUGAAAGAACAUCACAUGCCUGACAAGGAAGCCAAGAUGGGAUCCAGGAGACUGUCUGGGACAUUUGGGUGAUGGCUCUUCCAGCAAGCUAUCGCCAAUAUCUGUUUUUUCUGGCAUACUCCGAGAACGCUUUCGCCAUUUCUGACAGUUCCCUGUGUAAUGAAAUUAACACAAUUUCUCAUCCAAAAUCUUUUUUAAAAAUUAAAUUAA
This is a long non-coding RNA of Podarcis raffonei (Aeolian wall lizard), 2127 nucleotides long. RefSeq lists it as uncharacterized. The transcript is spliced from 2 exons. Lineage: Eukaryota; Metazoa; Chordata; Lepidosauria; Squamata; Lacertidae. The record is from RefSeq and is a predicted model, not a curated record.